ACUAAUUUGGCAGAUAAGUGCAUCGGAUUUAGAAUCCUAAAAUAUAAAAGGUUAUUUAUAAUUAGUA
RNAcentral lists this transfer RNA (67 nucleotides) under Songmachilis xinxiangensis. RNAcentral's name for it is "tRNA-Leu". It matches the Rfam family "tRNA". Rfam says of the family: Transfer RNA (tRNA) molecules are approximately 80 nucleotides in length. The record is from RNAcentral. Lineage: Eukaryota; Metazoa; Arthropoda; Insecta; Archaeognatha; Machilidae.